RNAcentral lists this ribosomal RNA (440 nucleotides) under uncultured bacterium. RNAcentral's name for it is "partial 16S ribosomal RNA". It matches the Rfam family "Bacterial small subunit ribosomal RNA", at positions 338 to 795 of the family's 1533-position model. The record is from RNAcentral.
CCUACGGGUGGCAGCAGUGGGGGAUAUUGCACAAUGGGGGAGACCCUGAUGCAGCGACGCCGCGUGAAGGAAGAAGUAUUUCGGUAUGUAAACUUCUAUCAGCAGGGAAGAAAAUGACGGUACCUGACUAAGAAGCCCCGGCUAACUACGUGCCAGCAGCCGCGGUAAUACGUAGGGGGCAAGCGUUAUCCGGAUUUACUGGGUGUAAAGGGAGCGUAGGCGGUUUAGCAAGUCAGGAGUGAAAGCCCGGGGCUCAACUCCGGGACUGCUUUUGAAACUGUUGAACUAGAGUGCAGGAGAGGUAAGUGGAAUUCCUAGUGUAGCGGUGAAAUGCGUAGAUAUUAGGAGGAACACCAGUGGCGAAGGCGGCCUACUGGACUGAAAAUGACGCUGAGGCUCGAAAGCGUGGGGAGCAAACAGGAUUAGAUACCCUGGUAGUC